RNAcentral lists this ribosomal RNA (564 nucleotides) under Triticum aestivum (bread wheat). RNAcentral's name for it is "partial small subunit ribosomal RNA". Lineage: Eukaryota; Viridiplantae; Streptophyta; Magnoliopsida; Poales; Poaceae. The record is from RNAcentral.
AUGACGGCCUCCAACCGGCGUCUCCGUCGUCGCCCGGAACGCGCCACCACUCCAAACUGGCGCUGCCACCGACGCCUGGAACGCGCCACCACCACCAGCCGGCGCCGCCACUGUCCCUCGUCGCGGAUCGCGCCGCCACCAUCGUUCCUCGCCCGGAAUCGGGCCGCCUCCACCAUCCCACAAUGUGGAUCGCGCCACCGCCAUCGCCACCAACCCACCUCCCGUUGCCGGAAACCUGCCGAUGCGCAAACUUGCUCCACUUGCCGCCACGACUUUCCUCGAACUGCCACCACAAUCUUCUUCCCUCCCGCCGCUGUCGGAGGCCUGCCACACAGAGCACCUCCAACCGCCGGCCCACUGCCCCCAGCCUCCCGUGCUGGAACUCCGCCGCCAAGUCGCUCCCAUGGUCGGACCGCACAACGGCCUCUCCUACUACUCAACGGCAGCCAUGCCACUGUUUGCCACCUCGCGAUGGUGCCGGCUAAUGUCAUCGCGUGCACUCACUGCAUGGAUGGAGAUGGAGUGGGGGAGAGCUUGGGACCGAACAGCGGCUGGCGAACUUAG